GAAGUGCGAGAAGUGUCAUGACUUGCAGAUUCCCGAGAGCUGACAAAUUUCUGAAUGCAAAUGGCGGUCGUUCAAAACGGCCAUGUAUUGCAGAGUGUAGUUGUUCAUACUCAUCAUCCCCCUCCAACAUGUACAAGGUUGAGGAGAUCGGGAUCUGCACUUGCGAUUUUAUCACGCGAGUGUGAAAGAACAGAGGAAUCUCGACCUCUCGUAAUGAGAGGAGAGAAACUUCGGAGACAUGACAUCGGGCGAAAGCCUUGAUGCGUGACAAUGAAGUUCGAUCGAGAUGACAAACAAUGAUCAACACAUCCACCUCUGCAAUGCAGGAAUACCCGCUGAACUUAA
RNAcentral lists this unclassified non-coding RNA (345 nucleotides) under uncultured fungus. RNAcentral describes it as "sequence contains ITS1". The stretch from base 1 to 100 matches the Rfam family "5.8S ribosomal RNA", at positions 50 to 154 of the family's 154-position model. The record is from RNAcentral. Lineage: Eukaryota; Fungi.